Molecule: ribosomal RNA, 494 nt
Filed under: uncultured bacterium
Lineage: Bacteria
Description: partial 16S ribosomal RNA
Rfam family: Bacterial small subunit ribosomal RNA
Source: RNAcentral
GACGAACGCUGGCGGCGCGCUUAACACAUGCAAGUCGAACGGAAAGGCCUGCUUUCCCUUGUGGAUUGCGGGUACUCGAGUGGCGAACGGGUGAGUAACACGUGAGUGAUCUGCCCCCAACUUGGGUAUAAGCCUGGGAAACUGGGUCUAAUUCCCGAUAGGACUGCAGGGUGGUGCCUGUGGUGGCAAACGAUUUUCUAGUGGUUGGGGAUGAGCUCGCGGCCUAUCAGCUUGUUGGUGGGGUAAUGGCCUACCAAGGCGGCGACGGGUAGCCGGCCUGGGAGGGUGGACGGCCACAUUGGGACUGAGAUACGGCCCAGACGCCUACGGGAGGCAGCAGUGGGGAAUAUUGCACGAUGGGCGGAAGACUGAGGCAGCGACGCCGCGUGGGGGAUGACGGCCUUCGGGUUGUAAACUCCUUUCGACCGCGAGGAAGCCACCUGGUUGGAAGGGUGGUGACGGUAGUGGUAGAAGAAGCACCGGCUAACUACGUG